Physella acuta is the source of this 6187-nucleotide RNA transcript. RefSeq lists it as uncharacterized. The record is from RefSeq and is a predicted model, not a curated record. Lineage: Eukaryota; Metazoa; Mollusca; Gastropoda; Physidae.
UAAACAGGAGCGUGAACGCCAUGAGGCCAGGAGCGUCGACCCGGGGCGUAGGGAGGCGCUACGGGCAAAGAUCAUCGAGCAGGCUCGCAAAUAUAUAGGCGUGCCCUACGCCAAGAAGUACUGGCCCCCUUCGUCCCCCGAGUACAGCUCCCCCAAGUUCCUGGACUGUUGUGGCCUGGUCCGGCAAGUGAUGCGUGACCUUCAGGAUGACCUUGGCUUUCGUCUGGGACCCUGGAACCAGUGCUACAUGUACGACACUCUCCCGGUCAGCCUGACCCAGGGGGAGAUGCAGCCCGGGGACCUGGUCUUCAUGGCAGGGUGCUACAAUAACCCCAGAAGUAAACGUCAGAAGCACGACAUGCUGCACGUGGAGAUCUGGCUGGGUCAGGGUGAGCAGACGAUCGGCUCGCGCUGGAACACGGGCAAGGUCGGCAUCUUCGACUCGUACAGGUUCACGCCGAGAAGUUUCCACAGCGAGACGUACAUCUUCAAGUCUAUAGACGCCUGGUUGAUGGGGCUCUGUCAUAGUCACUGCCCGGAACACUCGUGGGUUGUCUCCCGCUACAGCCCGUCCAAGAAAUCCAUCUUCAACAUGGACGGCGAGAGUCAGGACAACUCGACUCUGGAGAGUCAGGACAACUCGACUCUUGAGAGUCAGCGUGACCACCCAGACAGCCAGUGUGAUCAGCCAGCAGACGACGAGUCUGAUCUGGCCACUCCUGACGUCAUCGAAGAAACGGCCAAGAACGGGCAGCGGUCAUCUUUGAUAGUAUCCUCUCUACCUGACCUCACCGCCAAAGAAAAUCUCGAGACUCCGGAUGAAAAUUCCAAUGUGGUCACCCAGGUUAACUUAGAGACCAGGGCAAGCUGCGAUAACGAGAGAGGAGAAAGUAUAGACCCGGAUGUUAAUCAUAAUUAUAUCCGGUCUCUGCAGUUAACCCCAUCGACGAAGCAGAAUGGAAAGUUCAAGAACUUGUACCGGUUGUUUAAAUAUUUCAAACAGAAGCAGAGACUGGGAACUUUCGACGCGGAGGAUGCUAAAAAAGCGACAGCAAUGUUGUCGUUUGUGAGAGGUGAGCUGGCGAGCUCCGCCAGAGUGGAGCGGUUUAUUCAGGUGCUGUCUGAGGUUGACUGCCACUUGUGUCCCUCUGGUUGGCAUCAGGGUUGUCCGCCUGGUUGUCAACAACCCGAGAAAGGUUGCAAUUCGUGUGCGCCAGGUUCAAGCUGCUGGAUGUCUUCUGAUAAAGCCGAGAAGAAAAUCCAGAAAGAUUUGAACCAAGCACAGGGUCAAUACCAGGAGAGGCAACUCGUCCCGUUUCAAAAUAACCGGAAGUCCACCAGUAACCAAUCAGAAAACUUGAGCAGUAACGAGCAUGUUAAAAUUGACAAUCUGACCAAUCAGAACAGCGAUAUCAUUUUAGUGAAAAAUAUUAACCAAGACUUGAGUAUGUUGCAGGAAUGCUUAGAGACAAUCACAGAUGAAAAUGUUCUCGAGUCUGUACAAAACAACAAACUUGAGUUAACUGAGAUAGCAGUGCUGGGGGCCGGGGUACAGAAUAGUUGUGUGGUUAGAACAGGCGUGAAUCAAGUAACGGAGGAAACAAACGAAGCGAUCCAGUUUUACCGCCGUCUUGAUUUUGUCUUACACCAAGUUCUAUCCCAGCACCAGCAGGCCACUGUCAACAUCCGGGUCCACAAGAUCCUCUUCAUCAACUUCCUGCCCGUCUACCCGGAGCUGUGGGACGUCGCGGACUGGGCGGGGCACGACGACAACGUCAACAACAACAGCAGCCGGGAGCUGUGUCUAUCCGACCAGGAUAUCGAGGAGCAGACGUUCAGGAUCGGCGACCACGAGCUUCUGAGCAUCGUGCCGGACAUCAAGAGCAAAAGCAGCCUCCCGCCGCUACUGACCCUGAAGAAGAAAGUCCAGAUGACCAAGCAUCACGUGAUGAGGAAGCUGCUCCAGAGCGAGAACCUCCCGGUGUUGCCGAGUUCCGGGGUGGUCAAGGAUAUGAUCAACACGGGCGACAAUGAGACGGGGCCGGCCGCCAUGACCUCUGUGGAGUAUCAAAAAAUGUUGUUUGACAAGUCGCGGUGUUCCCGACACGAGGAGGACAGCGAGACCUCCACCCUGGGGCUCAACCCCCGACCCCAAUCUGACUCUGAUCUUUCCACUGGGGGUUUGAACAUCCGGUCGUGUUAUAAAGACCCCAGCGGGGAUUUUUCGGGAGCCGCGAAUGAAAAUCAGCAGGAGAAGGUCGAGGCGGUGGUGGAAGAGUGCCCAGUGAAAGAGAAUCCUUGGAAGUUAAGAGGAGCCGGGGAGAAAUACGGUAUCCGGUCUAAAGUUGCUUAUAAAAAAGGUGCGCGGUGCGAGAGUGAAAGGGCGUUCUCUGUUGAUCAGAUCAGCGAGGUCAGCGUCGGACACCCCGGUGCUCACUCCUUCCCCCGGGGGUUGGACUACAGGGCUCGCGCGCGUGCGCAUCGGGACACCAGCAUCGACGAGGAAGACUCCGACUCGGAGUCAGAAACAGAGUCGGAGGAGGACGAGGAGGAGGAGGCGGCGGAGUCAGUGAACGUCGUGUCGGAGCAGUUCAUGUCGCCGUGGUGCCUGCAGAAGUCGACUCGUCUGAUGGACAGCGAGGAGAUGAAGCAGCUGGACGACUUCCUGCUGGCCUGCGAUGACCUUGAGGAGAGGAAGGUCACCGCCAGAUCGCCGGCCCCCACGGUGGUCUCCACGGCGCUGAUGAAGAGGCUGAGGCUGCACGCCAACAUUGGUGGUGGAGGUGUGCACGCCAAGAAGGCAGUCGGCUCCGGCAGCGCAGGAAAAGGCAAAGGCGAAUCUAACGAGGCGGGGGGCGCCAGAGGAGGGGGAAGCGGUGGCAAGAAAGAGAAGGGGGGCGAGCACGGAGAAGGAGGAGGCGACGAUUUUUUCGGUAAAGGAAGUGACGACAGCAGCGGAGGAGGGGGAGGAGGGAAGAGAGGUAACAAGACAAGCAAACCAUCACCGUGUGCCCUCCCCGCAAACAUGCAGCCCACAUUCUACGUCAGCGGCGGGAACAACAGCAUACUAGUGGAAGGUCCCUUGUUGGAGCUGGGAUGGAAGAAAACUACGGACAAGCAUGAUGAGAGGUACAGGCUCAAGUGGGUGGAGAACAGGUGUAGGAUCAAUUACAUUGCUUUCCGUGAGGGUGAGCAGCUAGUUAACCAUAUACCAAAUUGUAAGCUUCUUACGAACAAACUCGGCCUACUGUGUAGUCUGCAAGAGUAUGAAAGGGUAACUCUGCUGACAAAAGGGAGGCUACCCAGAUUAAAAAUGGUUGACUUUGUUCCGGAAACUUUCAAGUUGGAUGAGAGGACAGAUAGGGAUAGAUUCCUGAGUGAAUAUAAAGAUGGGGAAACCUGGAUCUGUAAACCGACAAGCCUGAAUCAGGGAAAGGGCAUAUUCUUACUCCGAUCUCGUGAUGAGAUAAAUCAACUAUUGUCUGAGAGAGAUGCAAAGUCUUCAUGGACGCGGCAGGUUCAGAUGAGAAUAGUACAGAGAUAUAUACACAACCCAUUGCUCAUAGAGGGUAGAAAAUUUGAUAUUAGAGCCUACAUGUUUAUAGCAAGCACUGUCCCAUUUCUGGUACUGUUCCACAAUGGCUAUGUGAGACUGUCUUGUCAGAAGUAUAAUCAGGAUGAUACCAACCUCACCACCCACCUUACUAAUCAGUUUGUUCAGAAAAAAGAUCCAACCUACAAAGAUAAUAAGGAAGACACGGCCUGGACCAUGGACAAGCUGAACGACUAUGUCAACGAAACGGUUGCCAAAGAUAGAAAUAUUGAGAAGGAUUGGGUGUUUGGUGGCUUGACGAAACAAAUGCAGAGAAUAACACUUCAUUGUUUCAAUAGUGUCAAACACAAGCUCCAAUGUAAAGUUGGUUAUUUUGAUUUGUAUGGUAUGGAUUUUAUGGUCGACGCUGAUUUAAAGGUGUGGCUCAUUGAAAUCAAUGCUAACCCUGCCCUGUGGACUAACUGUCAAGCUCUUAAAGAGGCUAUCCCUUGUGUUGUUAGGGAUGCUCUGUAUCUUGCCAUUGAGUGCUUUGAUAAAAGCAGGAAAGGCCAGCCUUUGAUGCCCCUCAACUCAUUAGGGGGCUACAAUGUUUUAUACUGUGGCUCUCAUGCAUCAGGCAGCCAACGCCAGAUCCGCAGUGUGUCCCCUUUUAAGGACGCCGUAGACAUGGGUCGUCCUACAGGUGCCAAAACGCUUAAGUUCAUUCAAGAUAUCCAACGUGUGCAUAUUAGAAUAUUAGUUACUUGUACCUGGGCCAUGGUCGUCCUACCAUUUGCAUGCUAUCUGAUCAUGGCGGUCUUGAAAUUUUCCUAGGGUUUUAUCAUACUUGAGCAUAUUUUUUUUUACUGAUCAGCUAUUUUUUUUAUCCUUAACCUUGGCUUAUCUGUUGUGUAAGAUCAUGUUAAAUAGAUUUUUGUGCAAUUUUUGUGUUGUUUUUUUCCCAAGGGAAAUGACUCUAAAAGUUGUAAAAGAUUUUUAUUGUUUUAGGAUUAAUCUUUUAAAAGAUGUAAGGCUUGAUAUGUAAAUGAAAUUGCUUGAAUUUUGUUUUAAAUUUCGUAUAGUAUCAUUUUUUUUUAAACUGACUUAAAUUAGGGUUAUUGAAACUAACCAACAAUAUUAACGUCAUGUAUUUAUUUCCAUAUUGUUACUAUCUGAGCUUGUGCAUAAACUAAUGAUGAAUAUGUGUGACCAUCAUUGCCAUUUUCUUCUAGGCCGACGAAAACAUUUGCAGAGUAAACUUCAAGACCUAGGGUCAAUAGCACCAGCCUAGCCAUCCAGAAUUGUUCUCUUUAAUUUUUCUCUCUCUCUGCUUGAGUGACUACUGAAAUCUGGCCUGCUUACAAGACAGUCUAUAGAUAGUUGUAAAGAUCAUUGCCCUAUCCUCGACUCAGUGUGGUAGAAAUUUUUUUUUUUUUUGCUGUAAAUGGCUGGCAGUACUGAGGCUGAUUUUUUAAAAGUUUGAUACAGGUGGGUGAUAUUUUUGUUGCCAGGUUGUAUGAUCUCAGAAAUUUAUCCCGUGAUUUCUUUUGUUAGGUUGAUGAAACGGUGCUAACUGUAGGGAUUUUACAUCUAAUUUGAAGUUGAAAGUUAAGAUGACAUUUCACUGUGACCGACAGAGCCUAGUUCUCUCAUUAAGCUUAUCCUGACAAAAGAUGUAUUCCAUCAUAAUUUCAUUUUAACAGGCAUUAUUUUUUAAAAAGAUGUUCGUUGUUCUUUUUAUUAAAAAGAAAUCUCUCAUUGUAAAAAGAGAUGACGAUAAUCUUUUUCUUAAAAAGAUGACAUGUCUAUAAAAAGAAUGGAAAAGAAAUUGACAGUCUAAGAUUAAAUCAUCAACAAAAAAUAAAUUUAGUUUUAUAUUAAAUUUGUCUAUUUUUACAUUUAAGUACACAAUUCAAUUAAACAUAUGUUGUGAACUAUUGUUAUAAGUUAUAUACAUAUAUACAGAUGUAUACACUCUUUUGUUCAAGUCUGCAAUACAUUUAAUCCACAUUUACUGGUAUUAUUAAAAAUAGAUUUAGGCCUAUAUUAUUUCAAUACAAAAAUAAAUGACAGAUGUUGUACAUUUGUAAAAUUUUAUAAAGUUGUAGCGGUUUCUGUAAAAAUGAAAACCUUAAGGUGGUUGGUUAAAUUAAUAUUUUUUUUUUACAUUUUUAUGUUGUAAAAGUAAAGUAUUUUGGAUUAAAAAGCACUAACUAGUCAUAAAUAGAAUAAUUAAUUACAUUUAGUUUUGUAUUUAGUAUUAAAAACUGUCUAAACUUGAAACUAGGAGAUUAUUUAGGUUGUAAAACUAAGCUUAAAAAACAGGAUGAUUUUUUUAUCUAGACUAUUUAUUUGACAAAAGACUAAAUAAUUUUUUUUAAAUAUCAUAAAUUUAUCUCUAAUUUUUUUCUACUUAGUGUUCCACUCUGAAUGUGUAAAGAGCUAAUAUCCGAAAUCUUGGGCAGCCUAACCGCCAUUUAACUCCCCAGUGCUGUAGUUACAUGAAUGCCAGAUUUUUAUCUGAACCAUUUUCAACAGAUUGCCAUGCAAAUGGUAACUCACCCACACCUGGGAUCAGACGCCAGUCCCCACCCCGUGUGGUCAACAAGUUAAACAGCGGUCAGACUUAUGGUAGUCCUUACGCUUCAGCAUCUG